Varroa destructor (honeybee mite) is the source of this 742-nucleotide long non-coding RNA. The record is from RefSeq and is a predicted model, not a curated record. Lineage: Eukaryota; Metazoa; Arthropoda; Arachnida; Mesostigmata; Varroidae.
AACCAUACUAUUUAAAUAAACACAAUUCUUCUUCAAUACAUCAGAAGUGACGUUUGGUACUGUCUUAAUUAGGUGUUGUUUUAAACGAGUGGCUACCAGCUCAAAACGAAGUGUGUCUAAAAUUCAUUUCGAACAUAAACAACCUUACGUCGAAAAAAAAACAGAGAAAUUUUCGGUAAACUGCCCGUUCCGUUGACGCUGUUAGCCAUCUGAUUCAUAUAUAAUCUAUCGGGUGCGUUUUAUUUUUAGUGAAGCUUUGGGAAUUUCCUAUUACAGAGUCCCCCGAAAUGAAUGCCUUUAACGAUAUUAAUGAAAGAGCAGCGGUAGUAGUCGUUCACCCCGGCUGGGUAUGUUUGGGCCUGCGGAGGACGCGACCACAAAGUCAGAGACCCCAAAUCCGCAGCUCUAAGGAAAAAUAUCAACGUGUAGUAAAAGUGCGGCCGUCUCGUGCUAUGCAGCAAUGGUAAACAAAUGGAAGCGGUGUCUUGUACCAGCUUUUGAAAACAACGAAUAAACACGUGGGUGACAAGACGGAGUUACGGACGUUAAUAUUCAACGAGGCGGUCAAGCCGGCCCAGUGGACAAGCAAACCAUACGAAGGUUCUUAGUGGAACGAGACAGACCAGCAGAUCAGAUAGUGAGUUGACCGCUGAGAUGCCCGUAAUGAUCAACGAAGGACGUAAUUUCGGAGAAACGGCUCUCAAUAAAAAGCUAAACCAGAGCUUGGUCGUCACUUAAGGUA